CCUGCAUAUGGGGAUGGGGUGUGAUGGAGGAGCUGGGGAUGCUGGAGGAAACGGAGGGGCUGGAGGCUUUCCUGCGUCCAGCAGCCAAAAAGAAGGGUCGGGGAGGGGUGGGUGUGUGUGAGAAGGAGGGAGAGACACGCUCCACAGACCGCGCCAGCCCCAUUUCCCUGGUAAUGUGUCACCAGCAAUGAGGGGAAGCCCGCCCGGCCCUGCCCGAUUUAAGCCGGGCUACGGAGGGCGCUGACCCGAGCGGGACCGGGUAAGCCAGAAGGAGGAUGAGAUGCGGCAAGGAGCCGGCCCGUCUCUCCGAAAACAUCCCGGAUAACCAUGCCACCUUGUCAAACGCUGCCUCUUUACACAACCCAUUUGCUGCAUCGCAGAGUCAUAACGGCGGUGAUGGAUGGGCCGGGGACCCCCCCGGCGCCCCCCCGGCGCGGGGAGGAAUGCGGGCGGGCCGAGCCCCCGGCCCGCACCCCGCCGGCCACAAUUUAUAGUCUGUAUAUAUUUGCUGGCUCCAGAUAUCGGCAACGUAAUGGAUGGUUAUAUUUUAUGAAUCCGAGCCUCGGAUCUGGGGACUCGGGAGUCCCUUCCUUGUAUGGUGCACUCCUGUCUCGCCCCUAAUCCGCCCGGCAGGCAAUAAACUUCCCCGCUAAACGCGCCGGGAGAUAACAGUCAACUUUUAUUGAUUACAAGAAAAUGCUCGAAACUAAAUAAAGGGCUUUUAUGAGCAUCCCUGCGAAGA
Phalacrocorax carbo (great cormorant) is the source of this 742-nucleotide non-coding RNA. The record is from RefSeq and is a predicted model, not a curated record. NCBI's taxonomy places the organism in Eukaryota, Metazoa, Chordata, Aves, Suliformes, Phalacrocoracidae.